GACGAAGCAGAUUCUUCUCCCAGUUCAAUAAAUGAAAAUCAACGGCAGCUGGAGCAUCUGGAGGCGGUUUCCGGGCACAUUUCUGGUCUAAAAAAGAAGAUGAAAUAAAUGGCUUCCAACUUAUCAACCCACAGCCCACACAUCAGGAAUAUGGGCGAUUGUUGUUCCAUGUGCUAUUCAGCCAAUAACUCUUCACUACUUUCAUGUAUAUAAUGUGUUUAAAAUUAUUUUGCACUCUUCUUCUAACUGAUCUGACCUACUGACAGUGAGAUGGCUCUGAUAAUUUGUCGUCUCGCUGCAGAACUUGGCUUCUGCUGUAAAAGGCAGCUACAGUUGGGGACACACGACCUGAGUUUCACAGUUGUCACACAUUUUGAAAACACCUGCUGCUCUCCGUAACAGACAGGUAUUUGUUUCACGACUGGGGAUCACACACUUCACAGUUGUGCCUGCUGAGAGA
Molecule: long non-coding RNA, 460 nt
Organism: Fundulus heteroclitus (mummichog)
Lineage: Eukaryota; Metazoa; Chordata; Actinopteri; Cyprinodontiformes; Fundulidae
Exons: 3
Source: RefSeq, a predicted model, not a curated record